Molecule: ribosomal RNA, 863 nt
Filed under: Clostridium sporogenes
Lineage: Bacteria; Bacillati; Bacillota; Clostridia; Eubacteriales; Clostridiaceae
Description: bacterial SSU rRNA
Rfam family: Bacterial small subunit ribosomal RNA
Source: RNAcentral
UUCCUUCGGGAAGUGGAUUAGCGGCGGACGGGUGAGUAACACGUGGGUAACCUGCCUCAAAGUGGGGGAUAGCCUUCCGAAAGGAAGAUUAAUACCGCAUAACAUAAGAGAAUCGCAUGAUUUUCUUAUCAAAGAUUUAUUGCUUUGAGAUGGACCCGCGGCGCAUUAGCUAGUUGGUAAGGUAACGGCUUACCAAGGCAACGAUGCGUAGCCGACCUGAGAGGGUGAUCGGCCACAUUGGAACUGAAACACGGUCCAGACUCCUACGGGAGGCAGCAGUGGGGAAUAUUGCGCAAUGGGGGAAACCCUGACGCAGCAACGCCGCGUGGGUGAUGAAGGUCUUCGGAUUGUAAAGCCCUGUUUUCUGGGACGAUAAUGACGGUACCAGAGGAGGAAGCCACGGCUAACUACGUGCCAGCAGCCGCGGUAAUACGUAGGUGGCGAGCGUUGUCCGGAUUUACUGGGCGUAAAGGGUGCGUAGGCGGAUGUUUAAGUGGGAUGUGAAAUCCCCGGGCUUAACCUGGGGGCUGCAUUCCAAACUGGAUAUCUAGAGUGCAGGAGAGGAAAGCGGAAUUCCUAGUGUAGCGGNGAAAUGCGUAGAGAUUAGGAAGAACACCAGUGGCGAAGGCGGCUUUCUGGACUGUAACUGACGCUGAGGCACGAAAGCGUGGGUAGCAAACAGGAUUAGAUACCCUGGUAGUCCACGCCGUAAACGAUGGAUACUAGGUGUAGGGGGUAUCAACUCCCCCUGUGCCGCAGUUAACACAAUAAGUAUCCCGCCUGGGGAGUACGGUCGCAAGAUUAAAACUCAAAGGAAUUGACGGGGGCCCCGCACAAGCAGCGGAGCAUGUGGUUUAAUUCGA